AGGCUGGUCUUAAAUUCCUGGGCUCAGGUGAUCUGCCUGCCUUGGCCUCCCAAAGUACUGGGAUCACGGGCAUGAGCUACCAUCACGCCCGGCCCCAUCUCUUUGAGGGACAGGACAUGUGGGGUUCUUGCUCACCCCCACUCUUGUGGGACACGGCCUGUGCCCUGAUUUUCCUUCUUGCCUUGGUGUCUGAAUCUGCAGCAUCGCCCUGAGCAACUGGUGGUUUGUGGCCCACCUGACAGACCUGCUGGACCACUGCAAGCUCCUCCAGUCACACAACCUCUAUUUCGGUUCCAACAUGAGAGAGUUCCUCCUGCUGGAGUACGCCUCGGGACUGUUUGCUCAUCCCAGCCUGUGGCAGCUGGGGGUGGAUUACUUUGAUUACUGCCCCGAGCUGGGCCGAGUCUCCCUGGAGCUGCACAUUGAACGGAUACCUCUGAACACCGAGCAGAAAGCCCUCAAGGUGCUGCGGAUCUGUGAGCAGCGGCAGAUGACUGAACAAGUUCGCAGCAUUUGUAAGAUCUUAGCCAUGAAAGCUGUCCGCAACAAUCGCCUGGGUUCUGCCCUCUCUUGGAGCAUCCGUGCUAAGGAUGC
Molecule: small RNA, 594 nt
Filed under: Pongo abelii (Sumatran orangutan)
Lineage: Eukaryota; Metazoa; Chordata; Mammalia; Primates; Hominidae
Description: retained intron
Source: RNAcentral